This 255-nucleotide ribosomal RNA is filed under the name uncultured bacterium. RNAcentral describes it as "partial 16S ribosomal RNA". It matches the Rfam family "Bacterial small subunit ribosomal RNA", at positions 524 to 776 of the family's 1533-position model. The record is from RNAcentral.
UACGUAGGGGGCAAGCGUUGUUCGGAAUUACUGGGCGUAAAGCGCGCGCAGGCGGUCUUCCAAGUCAGUGGUGAAAGCCCGGAGCUCAACUCCGGAACUGCCAUUGAAACUGUUAGACUUGAGGACGAGAGAGGUGAGUGGAAUUCCCAGUGUAGAGGUGAAAUUCGUGAGAUAGUUGGGAAGAACACCGGUGGCGAAGGCGGCUCACUGGCUCGUAUCUGACGCUCAGGCGCGACAGCGUGGGGAUCAAACAGG